GGCAAAGAUGAAGAGUGCUUUAAAUUUCUGACACCUCUUGUAUGAGAAGAGCCUUCACAAGCUCUUCCUUGAGCAGACAAAGCAACACUCUGAGCC
Molecule: small nucleolar RNA, 96 nt
Organism: Corylus avellana
Lineage: Eukaryota; Viridiplantae; Streptophyta; Magnoliopsida; Fagales; Betulaceae
Product: small nucleolar RNA snoR1
Source: RefSeq, a predicted model, not a curated record